GUCGCGUCAUAGCAGUGUGGGCGGAGUCGGCGCCCCUCAUUGGAAAAGCAUGGUGUAGACUCAGAAUGGACUAAAUAAAAUCAUUUCUGCCGCUCGACAGAGCAACAUACGAACAUACAAAAACUGAGCCGUAUUGGGUCGGACAGUCCGUACGGUAUCUGUGACUGGACAAACGACCCAGCGGAAUUGACAAAGGUGUCGUUUGCCAACAUUUUCUGUUACCUAAUGGAGCAAGAGACCGCUUACUACAAGCCAAUACGAGAACGAUACGGCUUGUGAAAAGUAAACAUUUGACGUUUUGUUUUGCUUAAUUUUAAUAAAGUGAUAAAGACGUGAGUAAAAGCCUGUCGUACUUUAUUAUUGAUAUUUUAAAAAUAUUUGUAACAUUGAAAAAACAGGUCUACUGAAGUGCCUUGAAAUGCGCAGCGUUAUUCUAUCUAUGUAGUGUGUGCUGCAGCUGCCUAAUCAUUUUCAUAAAUACAUGCUGUAAAAUAAAUAUAUAACAUGAAAAUUUGUAUAUAAAACACGAAAAACAUGGUUAUUGGUUACUAGUUAAACCAUGGUAAAACAAUGUUUUGCCACAGUUUAACCAUGGUAUUUGUAGUAAAACUGUGGUUAUAGGCUAUAAUUGGUAAUAAAAAUGCCAGUCUUUAGUAAACCUGGCUAUUCUACUAUACAUUUACUAUAGUAAUACCAUGGAUAAUUUUCAUAAGGGAUUGUGUAUAAUGAUACGAAAUAAAUGUUUUAAUUGAUUAUGACAUCACAAAAUAUCAGGGAGCGAGAUCUAUUUGAUUGUGAUGUGAAGGAGCGUCACUGUAAGCCGUGCAGGGGACAGGACUAAUGACAGUAGUGUAGCCUAUCUGUGCUACCCGCUCAGUGCUACCUCCGGUCCUCCGUCUGUUUAUCAGUCAUAUACAUCUUCAGAUCAGUUUUUUUUUUUUUUUGUUUUCUUUUUGUUCCGCCGCUGAUCCAAUGGCCAGCGGUACCCACAUUUUCAAUAAAAGAGCAAUUUCCCUUUCCUCCGAGUUACAAGGCUCCUGGGGCAUAUGGCAUACGUAGCCGCAGUCACACCGUUCGGAUUGCUUUAUAUGAGACCACUUCAGCACUGGUUACACUCCCGAGUCCUGAGAUGGGCAUGGUCAGACAUUGCUUCUCUACGGGCCGGGGUGCCCUUAGAACAAGUGUCCCGGCAUGUCGUUGUCAUGACAGAUGCCUCCAGCACAGGCUGGGGCACUUGCUGAGCCAUUCCCCCUCACACGGGGAUGCGAGCGCCUUUAUUCUCCCAGUAGAUUUCCCCUGUUGGCGUACCCUGGUCGAGCAUCUUCCAGCACCCUCGGCAGUCAGACUUGGCUGAGCAGUCUGGUGCCAGGCUCAGUACUGGUGUUAGCAUGCCCGGAGUUCUGGUCAGCCCCUGUACUGGGCUAGGUGUCCAUAUGGCUUAAUUCCCUAUGGGUAAUCCCAUAUGUGUAUUCUUCCAUGGUAAGGUUUCCCUCUUGGUAAACCCAUGUCUUCCCUUGACAGACCCGCUCUGUCAGUCUCUUCUGGCAGCUGUUCCAUUCCUACUCUAAGGUAGGACCUGCCUCAGAGACCCAUUCCAUAUGUAGUACUGCCCCCUGGGUCAGUCCAUAUCAGUAUCUCCACAUGUCACCUCCCUAUGGGUAGGGUGUGGUCUCCGUAGCGACCUUUUCCUUAAGGGUCGCUUCCCCAUCAUUCUGCCAAGCUGAAAGAACAAAUAGGAAAGAUUUGAAGCAAUCUUUCACUGAAGGUUGAAAUCCCUUCCAAAUUUUUUUUUUUGUGGACGGAAGGGCAGCAUGGCCUUCUCCAGCAGCAAUGUACUCACCCUCUUGGUGCCCUUCGGUACCAAGGUCAGUGAAUUUGCGCUGGGGCUUUGGGAAGGUUACGACCUUAAGCAUAGCUUAUGUGACACGCCACGGCUUGUCGACAAUUGCAGUGCCACAGCGUUGUGACGGUGUUCAGGUUGUGGCGUUUUCCAUAGGAAAAUGUCGUUCUACAUAACUUGUAGUGACCGACAGAUAGGGAAUGUCUCGGUUACGUACGUAACCCUCGUUCCCUGAUGAAGGGAACGGAGACGUUAUGUCCCCAUGCCACAACCUUGAACCAUUCGCUGUUGCCGGGAGACGUUCUCAGCUCCUCAGCGUAAAACCUGAAGAGUGGAUGCACCUGUCGCCUAUUUCUACCCGUAGACACGGGGAGUGGCUCAGGUAUGUAAAAUCCACUAGUUAAUUUUCAUUGCCGUUUUCUCUUAAACUCAGAGAUGAUUGGCUCCCAAGUGAGACCCCAUAUGUCAUUCGACGUAACGUCUCUGUUCCCUUCAUCAGGGAAUGAGGGUUACGUACGUAACUGAGACGUUUUCUGGAAUAAAAUAUUAUUUUCUGUUGUUUUCCACUUUUUUCUUUACUUCAAAAUUUCAC
Molecule: long non-coding RNA, 2432 nt
Organism: Cyprinus carpio carpio
Lineage: Eukaryota; Metazoa; Chordata; Actinopteri; Cypriniformes; Cyprinidae
Source: Ensembl